UUUAUUCAAUCAAUUGUAGAAUAAGGCAGUAAAAUAACAAACUGUGGAAAAAGUCAAGCGGUCGGAAUACUUUCCACAUUUAUAAACGGAUACGUUUUGCACAUGGACAUUUCCCUCUAGCUACCUUCCCUUCUCUGAUUUCUCUUUGUGGUCCUGGUCCUCUGCAUCUCAGUUGGUAGAGCAUGGCUCUUGCAAUGCCGGGAUAGUUAGUUCAAUUCCUGGGACCAGCCGUAGGUAAAAAAUGUAUUCACACAUUACUGUAAUUUGCUUUGAAUUAAAGCAUCUGCCACAUGGAAUAUAUUAUGUUUUUUACUGUUCACUCUGUUCUUUUCCUCCUGUUGAUAUGGAACAUAUCAUUCACUCUUUCCAUCUCUCUCUCUCACCCUCCCUCUCUCCUCUCUCCCUCUUUCUAUCCCUCCCUCCCCUUCCCUCUCUACCUCAUUCUCUGCCUCCCUCCUUCUCUCCCCAGGAUUUGUCAGGAGCAGAUUUAGGGUCAGGUCUGACCGAGGGCGUGGGUGGUAAACCCAUUUGAAGUGGUCAAAGUCCGCCUGCAGGCCAACAGAGAUACUUUCACAGUGCAGCCCGCCACGUUUGCCCAAGCUCGGAAAAUCAUUAACGCAGACGGCUCCGGCCUCCGAGGCCUGAAUAAAGGGUUAGAGUCAACACUGGGGCGCCAUGGUGUCUUUAACAUGAUCUACUUUGAAUUCCACUUCAACGUCAUGGACGCCAUUCCUGCCAGACAGGUCCUGACCAGGCAUCCGCCUCUUUGUCCUCUGUACCUGCAUCGCUUCCUCUUGCAAAUUAUGGGGAUGUUGGCCCUGUUGAGUGUUUGGAGAAUGUCCUGUGCGUCUUGCUAGUUGAAGAAAAAAUCUUUGUCUAG
This is a long non-coding RNA of Oncorhynchus tshawytscha (Chinook salmon), 880 nucleotides long. RefSeq lists it as uncharacterized. NCBI's taxonomy places the organism in Eukaryota, Metazoa, Chordata, Actinopteri, Salmoniformes, Salmonidae. The record is from RefSeq and is a predicted model, not a curated record. The transcript has 3 exons.